CCUACGGGAGGCUGCAGUGGGGAAUAUUGGACAAUGGGGGCAACCCUGAUCCAGCCAUGCCGCGUGUGUGAAGAAGGCCCUCGGGUUGUAAAGCACUUUCAGUGAGGAAGAACGCCUGGUGGUUAAUACCCAUCAGGAAAGACAUCACUCACAGAAGAAGCACCGGCUAACUCCGUGCCAGCAGCCGCGGUAAUACGGAGGGUGCGAGCGUUAAUCGGAAUUACUGGGCGUAAAGCGCGCGUAGGUGGCUUGAUAAGCCGGUUGUGAAAGCCCCGGGCUCAACCUGGGAACGGCAUCCGGAACUGUCAAGCUAGAGUGCGGGAGAGGAAGGUAGAAUUCCCGGUGUAGCGGUGAAAUGCGUAGAGAUCGGGAGGAAUACCAGUGGCGAAGGCGGCCUUCUGGACUGACACUGACACUGAGGUGCGAAAGCGUGGGUAGCAAACAGGAUUAGAUACCCGAGUAGUC
Molecule: ribosomal RNA, 465 nt
Filed under: Vreelandella stevensii
Lineage: Bacteria; Pseudomonadati; Pseudomonadota; Gammaproteobacteria; Oceanospirillales; Halomonadaceae
Description: partial 16S ribosomal RNA
Rfam family: Bacterial small subunit ribosomal RNA
Source: RNAcentral